RNAcentral lists this ribosomal RNA (2497 nucleotides) under Escherichia coli. RNAcentral's name for it is "partial 23S ribosomal RNA". It matches the Rfam family "Bacterial large subunit ribosomal RNA", at positions 1 to 2523 of the family's 2925-position model. Lineage: Bacteria; Pseudomonadati; Pseudomonadota; Gammaproteobacteria; Enterobacterales; Enterobacteriaceae. The record is from RNAcentral.
GGUUAAGCGACUAAGCGUACACGGUGGAUGCCCUGGCAGUCAGAGGCGAUGAAGGACGUGCUAAUCUGCGAUAAGCGUCGGUAAGGUGAUAUGAACCGUUAUAACCGGCGAUUUCCGAAUGGGGAAACCCAGUGUGAUUCGUCACACUAUCAUUAACUGAAUCCAUAGGUUAAUGAGGCGAACCGGGGGAACUGAAACAUCUAAGUACCCCGAGGAAAAGAAAUCAACCGAGAUUCCCCCAGUAGCGGCGAGCGAACGGGGAGCAGCCCAGAGCCUGAAUCAGUGUGUGUGUUAGUGGAAGCGUCUGGAAAGGCGCGCGAUACAGGGUGACAGCCCCGUACACAAAAAUGCACAUACUGUGAGCUCGAUGAGUAGGGCGGGACACGUGGUAUCCUGUCUGAAUAUGGGGGGACCAUCCUCCAAGGCUAAAUACUCCUGACUGACCGAUAGUGAACCAGUACCGUGAGGGAAAGGCGAAAAGAACCCCGGCGAGGGGAGUGAAAAAGAACCUGAAACCGUGUACGUACAAGCAGUGGGAGCACGCUUAGGCGUGUGACUGCGUACCUUUUGUAUAAUGGGUCAGCGACUUAUAUUCUGUAGCAAGGUUAACCGAAUAGGGGAGCCGAAGGGAAACCGAGUCUUAACUGGGCGUUAAGUUGCAGGGUAUAGACCCGAAACCCGGUGAUCUAGCCAUGGGCAGGUUGAAGGUUGGGUAACACUAACUGGAGGACCGAACCGACUAAUGUUGAAAAAUUAGCGGAUGACUUGUGGCUGGGGGUGAAAGGCCAAUCAAACCGGGAGAUAGCUGGUUCUCCCCGAAAGCUAUUUAGGUAGCGCCUCGUGAAUUCAUCUCCGGGGGUAGAGCACUGUUUCGGCAAGGGGGUCAUCCCGACUUACCAACCCGAUGCAAACUGCGAAUACCGGAGAAUGUUAUCACGGGAGACACACGGCGGGUGCUAACGUCCGUCGUGAAGAGGGAAACAACCCAGACCGCCAGCUAAGGUCCCAAAGUCAUGGUUAAGUGGGAAACGAUGUGGGAAGGCCCAGACAGCCAGGAUGUUGGCUUAGAAGCAGCCAUCAUUUAAAGAAAGCGUAAUAGCUCACUGGUCGAGUCGGCCUGCGCGGAAGAUGUAACGGGGCUAAACCAUGCACCGAAGCUGCGGCAGCGACGCUGAUGCGUUGUUGGGUAGGGGAGCGUUCUGUAAGCCUGUGAAGGUGUGCUGUGAGGCAUGCUGGAGGUAUCAGAAGUGCGAAUGCUGACAUAAGUAACGAUAAAGCGGGUGAAAAGCCCGCUCGCCGGAAGACCAAGGGUUCCUGUCCAACGUUAAUCGGGGCAGGGUGAGUCGACCCCUAAGGCGAGGCCGAAAGGCGUAGUCGAUGGGAAACAGGUUAAUAUUCCUGUACUUGGUGUUACUGCGAAGGGGGGACGGAGAAGGCUAUGUUGGCCGGGCGACGGUUGUCCCGGUUUAAGCGUGUAGGCUGGUUUUCCAGGCAAAUCCGGAAAAUCAAGGCUGAGGCGUGAUGACGAGGCACUACGGUGCUGAAGCAACAAAUGCCCUGCUUCCAGGAAAAGCCUCUAAGCAUCAGGUAACAUCAAAUCGUACCCCAAACCGACACAGGUGGUCAGGUAGAGAAUACCAAGGCGCUUGAGAGAACUCGGGUGAAGGAACUAGGCAAAAUGGUGCCGUAACUUCGGGAGAAGGCACGCUGAUAUGUAGGUGAAGCGACUUGCUCGUGGAGCUGAAAUCAGUCGAAGAUACCAGCUGGCUGCAACUGUUUAUUAAAAACACAGCACUGUGCAAACACGAAAGUGGACGUAUACGGUGUGACGCCUGCCCGGUGCCGGAAGGUUAAUUGAUGGGGUCAGCGCAAGCGAAGCUCUUGAUCGAAGCCCCGGUAAACGGCGGCCGUAACUAUAACGGUCCUAAGGUAGCGAAAUUCCUUGUCGGGUAAGUUCCGACCUGCACGAAUGGCGUAAUGAUGGCCAGGCUGUCUCCACCCGAGACUCAGUGAAAUUGAACUCGCUGUGAAGAUGCAGUGUACCCGCGGCAAGACGGAAAGACCCCGUGAACCUUUACUAUAGCUUGACACUGAACAUUGAGCCUUGAUGUGUAGGAUAGGUGGGAGGCUUUGAAGUGUGGACGCCAGUCUGCAUGGAGCCGGCCUUGAAAUACCACCCUUUAAUGUUUGAUGUUCUAACGUUGACCCGUGAUCCGGGUUGCGGACAGUGUCUGGUGGGUAGUUUGACUGGGGCGGUCUCCUCCUAAAGAGUAACGGAGGAGCACGAAGGUUGGCUAAUCCUGGUCGGACAUCAGGAGGUUAGUGCAAUGGCAUAAGCCAGCUUGACUGCGAGCGUGACGGCGCGAGCAGGUGCGAAAGCAGGUCAUAGUGAUCCGGUGGUUCUGAAUGGAAGGGCCAUCGCUCAACGGAUAAAAGGUACUCCGGGGAUAACAGGCUGAUACCGCCCAAGAGUUCAUAUCGACGGCGGUGUUUGGCA